UGGGGAAUAUUGCACAAUGGGCGCAAGCCUGAUGCAGCCAUGCCGCGUGUGUGAAGAAGGCCUUCGGGUUGUAAAGCACUUUCAGCGGGGAGGAAGGCGGUGAGGUUAAUAACCUUGUCGAUUGACGUUACCCGCAGAAGAAGCACCGGCUAACUCCGUGCCAGCAGCCGCGGUAAUACGGAGGGUGCAAGCGUUAAUCGGAAUUACUGGGCGUAAAGCGCACGCAGGCGGUUUGUUAAGUCAGAUGUGAAAUCCCCGGGCUCAACCUGGGAACUGCAUCUGAUACUGGCAAGCUUGAGUCUCGUAGAGGGGGGUAGAAUUCCAGGUGUAGCGGUGAAAUGCGUAGAGAUCUGGAGGAAUACCGGUGGCGAAGGCGGCCCCCUGGACGAAGACUGACGCUCAGGUGCGAAAGCGUGGGGAGCAAACA
Molecule: ribosomal RNA, 427 nt
Filed under: Chloroflexota bacterium
Lineage: Bacteria; Bacillati; Chloroflexota
Description: Chloroflexi bacterium partial 16S ribosomal RNA
Rfam family: Bacterial small subunit ribosomal RNA
Source: RNAcentral